GCCUUCGCCGCUAGUCGCGCGGCUCCCGCCCUCAGCGGUGCAACAGCAGCGAAGCCCGCCGCCCCGGGGGGCCCCGGGCCUCCCUCUGGAGCAGGGCGUCGACGCUGCAGCCGCCGCCGCCGCCUCGGGAGCCGUCGUGAGGACAGAGACCGUGGCUGAGUCCGUCGACAGCUUAAUGCCUUGUGCAUGUGGAAUGAUUGUUUGCUUUUUGGUUCAUCAAAAAACAAGGCACCGUGACAGAGAGGACUUGGGUGUGAAAAUGCUCUACUAUUUUACAUGUCUUAAGAACUCCAGAGAAACUUCCAGUCCACCAUGGAAAUGAAUGUCUGCAACUACAUAAGAAGGUAGAAGACUGGAAGACUCACGAGAGACGUGUGAAGUGAGUCCGAGCUCCCUAGUAGCUAAGGAGAUGGGGUGACAGACUACCUCCCGGGAGUGUGUCCUUUGGUGUGACGGCACCGGAUAGAAAGUGUGGACUGUUACACACAGCCCUUUAGAUGUCACCGCCCCUCCCUUCCCGCAGCCUCCAUUAGGUUUCCAACUGGGCCGUAAGACCACGGGGUUAGGGAGGGAUACGUGUGGAGAGGGUAAAAGGUGGGAGUAGGUGGAAGAAUAAAGGAUGUGAAUUGAAAGACACCAAUA
Dama dama (fallow deer) is the source of this 642-nucleotide long non-coding RNA. RefSeq lists it as uncharacterized. The record is from RefSeq and is a predicted model, not a curated record. Lineage: Eukaryota; Metazoa; Chordata; Mammalia; Artiodactyla; Cervidae. The transcript has 2 exons.